RNAcentral lists this ribosomal RNA (249 nucleotides) under uncultured bacterium. Its description in RNAcentral is "partial 16S ribosomal RNA". It matches the Rfam family "Bacterial small subunit ribosomal RNA", at positions 524 to 769 of the family's 1533-position model. The record is from RNAcentral.
UACGUAGGGUGCAAGCGUUAAUCGGAAUUACUGGGCGUAAAGCGUGCGCAGGCGGUUAUGUAAGACAGGUGUGGAAAUCCCCGGGCUUAACCUGGGAACUGCAUUUGUGACUGCAUAGCUAGAGUACGGUAGAGGGGGGAUGGAAUUCCGCGUGUAGCAGUGAAAUGCGUAGAUAUGACGGAGGAACACCGAUGGCGAAGGCAAUCCCCUGGACCUGUACUGACGCUCAUGCACGAAAGCGUGGGGAGC